Molecule: ribosomal RNA, 484 nt
Filed under: uncultured bacterium
Lineage: Bacteria
Description: partial 16S ribosomal RNA
Rfam family: Bacterial small subunit ribosomal RNA
Source: RNAcentral
AUUGAACGCUGGCGGCAGGCCUAACACAUGCAAGUCGAGCGGAUGAAGGGAGCUUGCUCCUGGAUUCAGCGGCGGACGGGUGAGUAAUGCCUAGGAAUCUGCCUGGUAGUGGGGGAUAACGUCCGGAAACGGGCGCUAAUACCGCAUACGUCCUGAGGGAGAAAGUGGGGGAUCUUCGGACCUCACGCUAUCAGAUGAGCCUAGGUCGGAUUAGAUAGUUGGUGGGGUAAAGGGCUACCAAGGCGACGAUCCGUAACUGGUCUGAGUGGAUGAUCAGUCACACUGGAACUGAGACACGGUCCAGACUCCUACGGGAGGCAGCAGUGGGGAAUAUUGGACAAUGGGCGAAAGCCUGAUCCAGCCAUGCCGCGUGUGUGAAGAAGGUCUUCGGAUUGUAAAGCACUUUAAGUUGGGAGGAAGGGCAGUAAGUUAAUACCUUGCUGUUUUGACGGUACCGACAGAAUAAGCACCGGCUAACUUCGUG